The sequence is a regulatory RNA element, 137 nucleotides long. It matches the Rfam family "PyrR binding site". From Rfam's summary of the family: This family represents the PyrR binding site and terminator structure. This RNA structure is found upstream of a variety of genes involved in pyrimidine biosynthesis and transport. The alignment also includes a portion of the antiterminator structure. The record is from Rfam.
GGUACCUUUAAUUCAGUCCCGUGAGGCUGACAAGGACAGCGGAUGUAAUGAUGGCCAUUGGGUGAGGUAUACCCAUGCUCUUUGGUUUAUCAUGGCGGAAAGGCUACUUGUCGGAAAACGGCAAGUAGCCUUUUUUC